CUGGCGGCGUGCCUAAUACAUGCAAGUAGAACGCUGAGGACUGGUGCUUGCACUGGUCUAAGGAGUUGCGAACGGGUGAGUAACGCGUAGGUAACCUACCUCAUAGCGGGGGAUAACUAUUGGAAACGAUAGCUAAUACCGCAUGACAAUAGGGUACACAUGUACCCUAUUUAAAAAGGGGCAAAUGCUUCACUAUGAGAUGGACCUGCGUUGUAUUAGCUAGUUGGUAAGGUAACGGCUUACCAAGGCGACGAUACAUAGCCGACCUGAGAGGGUGAUCGGCCACACUGGGACUGAGACACGGCCCAGACUCCUACGGGAGGCAGCAGUAGGGAAUCUUCGGCAAUGGGGGGAACCCUGACCGAGCAACGCCGCGUGAAGUGAAGAAGGUUUUCGGAUCGUAAAGCUCUGUUGUUAGAGAAGAACGGUAAUGGGAGUGGAAAAUCCAUUACGUGACGGUAACUAACCAGAAAGGGACGGCUAACUACGUGCCAGCAGCAGC
This 502-nucleotide ribosomal RNA is filed under the name uncultured bacterium. RNAcentral's name for it is "bacterial SSU rRNA". It matches the Rfam family "Bacterial small subunit ribosomal RNA", at positions 36 to 518 of the family's 1533-position model. The record is from RNAcentral.